RNAcentral lists this ribosomal RNA (439 nucleotides) under uncultured bacterium. Its description in RNAcentral is "partial 16S ribosomal RNA". It matches the Rfam family "Bacterial small subunit ribosomal RNA", at positions 339 to 795 of the family's 1533-position model. The record is from RNAcentral.
CUACUGGGGGCAGCAGUGAGGAAUAUUGCACAAUGGGGGGAACCCUGAUGCAGCAACGCCGCGUGGAGGAUGACGCAUUUCGGUGUGUAAACUCCUUUUAUAUGUCAGGAAAAUGACGGUAGCAUAUGAAUAAGCACCGGCUCACUCCGUGCCAGCAGCCGCGGUAAUACGGAGGGUGCAAGCGUUACUCGGAAUCACUGGGCGUAAAGGACGCGUAGGCGGGUUGGAAAGUCAGGUGUGAAAUCCUACAGCUUAACUGUAGAACUGCACUUGAAACUUCUAAUCUAGAGUAUGGGAGGGGGAGAUGGAAUUAGUGGUGUAGGGGUAAAAUCCGUAGAUAUCACUAGGAAUACCUAAAGCGAAGGCGAUCUCCUGGAACAUUACUGACGCUAAGGCGUGAAAGCGUGGGGAGCAAACAGGAUUAGAUACCCCGGUAGUC